GGCUCGGCGGCCUGGGCGCUGGGUCACCGAAGUGGUCGUUGUGGGUGCCAUUUCCUGUCCUCCGACCGGAGUGGUCACCUGUGGUCACCCCGCAGGGCAGCCUCAGGUGGGACCGUGGACGCUCUUUUGGCCUGUGACCGCACUAGUCCCGGAGCCAAGCAGAUCAGAAGUGCAAGCUUUAGUUUACUUGAGUGUUUAUAACUUGCGGUGCAGACUCCCCCCAAGUUAGGCAUAGACAUGGAGUAGGUGUAGUUAGUUAUUGGCUUCCUUCUCCCCCAUUGAUCGUGCCUUCACUCCCCACUCCUGCCCAUGCCCGGUGCCGGGAAGCAUUCCAACCAAGAGGAGCGUACCCACACCUCAACUCCACCCGGGGGAGACCCUCCACCUUGGCUAAGGCUGGAGACUCAUUCAAGUGCCAGAUAAAUGGGCAAAACAUACCCCAUGAAGCCGUGCCCCAUAGCGUUAAAAAAAAAAAAGCAUCCGCAUAGGAUUAACAGAAACUGGUGACUAACAGAAAUACUUGAGCUUGUCUGACAGAAUAGCAGCUAAAGGAACAGCUUGCAAAAACUCUGCUUUUAACCUGCCUUCACUGACAGAGCUCACCUUAAUUACUUUUGACUCCUUAGUCACCCCUAUAGAUAACACCUCUGACCUAUGGGUCACUAUAGUAACGGAGGCUUUAGUGGUUUUUCAGGAGCUUGGCGUGGGCUCCUGUCCAGUUCAAGCCGGCUAAGACUGGUUGGGAUCACCAACCCUAAAACUGGGCCGGGGCCAGGUGUCUGACGAAUGACCUUUUGAGAUCAGAGGGCGGAAAACUCCACCCUCAGAUCAUGCUAAUCAGGAGGAGCAGAUGUCACCGUGAGUGAUUUUAGUGCUUUUCUAGAUGUUUGGCUCAUAAAAUCUCCUCCUGAAAAUCUCUAACUAUCUGAAGACCUGUGCUGCCAGUUUCUCCCAGAGCACAGAGGGCAUCAUUCCUGAUCUCCACCCUGAACUCCUUUCAGGGGGUGUUGAAGUUCCCGAAUCAGGGAUCCAACCCGUGCCCCCUGCAGUGGAAGCACAGAGUCUUAACCACUGGACCUCCAGGGAAGUCCUGAUAUGAUCGUUUUAGAUGCCCACUGUUUCAUGGAAAAGAUGUAGAUUCCAAUGAUACUACUAGGAAGUCUGUCUUCUUGUACACUGACAUGAUGACCAGGCUUAUCCAGCAAGGUCCUGUGUCUAUGAAUCCUGCAUAUAUAACCAUGCUCUAACUCAUCCUAGAUGGACCAACCAGGAUAAAACUUGCAUCCAGCUUGGAAGAUCUGCCUUCACGUUUCUCCCGCCUCACCAAGUGGCUGUUACUGGAGACUUUCCAACCCUCUGAUGGACAAAGGUCACUACCAACUAAGCGAGAAGCUGAGUGCUGCCACUAAGAACUUAGUUGUUAUAAUACCAGUGUCCUCAAGAUGAAAAUAUGUCGUAGUAGCCUGCGAUGGCUGCUAUAACAAAGGACCACAAACUGGGUGGCUUAAAACAACAGAAAUUUAUUGUCUGUUUUUCCUGGAGGUUGGAGUCCUAAAUCAAGGUGUCAGCAGGGCCACGCACCCCCUGAGACCCUGGGUAGAAUCCUUCCUUGCCUCUUCCUAGCUGUGGUGGCCAGCAGUCCUUGCUGUCCCUAGGUUUCUGCUGCAUCAGUCCAGUCUCUGCCUCUGUCUUCACAAGGCGUACUCCUUGUGUGUCUUCACUGAGUCUUCCUUCUGUGCAUGUCUGUGUAUCUAAAUUUCCCCGUAGUAUAAGGACACUGGUCAUAUUGGAUUAGGGCCCACCCUAAUGACCUCAUUAUAACUUGAUUACCUCUGUAAAGACCCUCUCUCCAAAUAGGGUCAUAUUCUGAGGUCCUGGGGGUUAGGGCUUCCAUAUAGCUUCAGUAUAUCUGGGGGAAACACAAUUCAACCCAUAACAUAUGUCAAAACCACACCAAAUGGGAGAUUAUGAGUGACUUUAUUUUUUUUUAAUGGAAAAAAAUUUUAAGCUUUAUUGAGAUAUAAUUGACAAAACAUUGUGUAAGUUUAAGGUGAAUAAUGUAAUGAUUUGACAUAUGUACAGUUGACCCUUGAACAACAGGGUUUGAACUGCAUGGGUCCACUUAUACCUGUAUUUUUUUCAAUAAAUAUAGUACCUGUAUUUUCCUUUUACAGGUCUUUACAUUAACUAAGUGUAGGGAAAAGUUUGUGUUCGAUUAGCAAUCACAAUAUGCGGAAUCAGAAGAACUGGGGUUUGAGUCCUGAUUCGGUACAAACUGCGUCAGCUUCCUGCCCUUUGAGGCAGAGAUAGCAGUACCUGCAUUUCGACUGCACAGGGGGCUGGCGCCCCUCACCCCUGAGUUGGUCAAGGGUCAAGUGUAUAUAUUGUAAAUUAUUACCACAGUAAGGUUAGUUAACACUCCCCUUGCCUCACAUAGGUAUAAUUUUUGUGUGUGUGGUGAGAACUUUUAAGAUCUACUCUAUCAAAUUUCCAGUAUACAAUCCAAUAUUCCUAACUAUGGUCACCAUGUUGUACAUUACAUGCCCAGUAUUUAUUCAUCUUAUAACUGGAGGUUUGUAGCCUUUGACCGCCUUCACCCAUUUUCCCGAUUCCCCACUCCAACCCCUGCCCCUGCCAGCUGCCAAUCUGCUCUGUUUCUAUGAGUUCGGUUUUUUAUUCCACAUAUAAAUAAGAUUAUACAGUA
This is a long non-coding RNA of Balaenoptera acutorostrata (minke whale), 2704 nucleotides long. RefSeq lists it as uncharacterized. Lineage: Eukaryota; Metazoa; Chordata; Mammalia; Artiodactyla; Balaenopteridae. The transcript has 2 exons. The record is from RefSeq and is a predicted model, not a curated record.